AUCCAUCUGACGAGUCCCAAAUAGGACGAAAUGCGCUUUAUCCUGGAU
This 48-nucleotide non-coding RNA is filed under the name Trichobilharzia regenti. Lineage: Eukaryota; Metazoa; Platyhelminthes; Trematoda; Strigeidida; Schistosomatidae. The record is from RNAcentral.